Molecule: long non-coding RNA, 1160 nt
Organism: Labrus mixtus (cuckoo wrasse)
Lineage: Eukaryota; Metazoa; Chordata; Actinopteri; Labriformes; Labridae
Exons: 2
Source: RefSeq, a predicted model, not a curated record
UAGACAUAUAUGGUAAACGGAGAAGCUACAGCUGUGAUUGGCUGUUUAUUUUUUUUGCUCUACAUUCAAGUGAUUGGCUGUGAUCCACGAGACAAGAGGAGGUUUAAAAGGGGAGACUUGUUUUUUAACUUGAAGCAGAAUUUUGUCACUGCGUAGUGAUACACUUCAGACCAACCCAAUAGCAUUUACAGUACAGAGGGCGACGGACUCGAGAAGAGAUGAUGAUUUGCCUGAUCACAGUCACGCUCGCUCUUGUUCUUGGGUCCGAGGGAGCGGAUCACAGCGAUUACUCAUUUCCACCUCCCCACAAUUUAGAGGCCUGUAAAGAAAACAAUGACAGCAAGGCAUACAACAAGUUUGUUCAGAAACACAUCCUUCAAGAGGACUUCAACAGAAAAUUAAAGAAGGAAUGGCAAGCGUAAGUUAAGGGUCAAUAUACUCAAUAUCAAAUGGACACCGACUCGAUGAAGACAAUGCAGUGAUUCAUAUUUUAAAAGGAUAUCUGAAAUGAAUGUCCAGCGUCACACCAAUAUUGCAAAUGUAUUAUAUGUGUGUUUGUGAGUGUGUGGAUGUCAUAAUACUUUAAUGUGCCUUACCUAUUACUGAAACAUUUAUCUCAUUGUGCAGGUACAUAGAAAAGAAAAAACUCUGCAACAGACGCUUGCAGUCCUUCUUUGAGAAGACGCAGGAGGAACAUCUGAACAAGAUCUGUAAUGACUUUGGCAGGCCCCUGACUGGCCACGAUGAUAACUUGUGCAUCAGUAACUUCACCAUGAUGUUUUAUGAGGUCUAUGUCAACACAACAAGCUGCGAAAUUCUGACUUCUAAUAAUAAUCUGAAAAAAUCAAGCGAAGUGAUUGUGGCUUGUGAUAAAGUGGGUAACUGUUGCUGUCCUGUGCAUUUUGAGAGGUACACAAACCAAACAGCAAAUAACAAUGCAAAGCCCUGCAAGCCCUCGGGCUUAAACUGAGGUUUUGGAGAGAUAUUGAACAGAGGUUUCCAGGUGUAAGGCAUUGCGUGUUAGUUGGGGGUGUUUUUCUUAAUUAUUCAAUGAUAAAAACAGACUGUGGAUUAUUUUAGGGUUUAUUUGGCCGAGGUCAGACCAAACAUAGCAUAGCAUGAAUGACUGAAAAGCUUUUCAAUAAGCUUCUUACAUAUUC